GAUGUGCUGCUACGUAAUUAGUUUGAGAUGUCUCCAAUUUCUUUUAAGUAUAUGUACUUAGUGCUAUGUGUUGGGUAGAUUCCCUCAAUUCUAAGAAUAGAAUGAAUAUUCUAAGGGUGGUGGAAUUCAAGACAUCCAAUUUUAGAAACACCUUAGGUUUGUCCCUCCUCCCCGCCCCCUGCCAUUCAUUGUUUUUUGAGACAAUGUCUUUCACUGGCCUGGCGCUCACAGCUAGGUAGAUCUGGCUGGUAAAUCUCAGGGAUCCACUGUUUCUACUUUCCCAGUUCUGGAAUUACCAGUAUGUGCCACUGUGUUUGAUUAUUAUUAUUAUUAUCAUUAUUAUUAUUAUUAUUAUUAUUAUAAGUUCUGGGAAUUGAACUCCGGUCCUCAUAUUUGUGGAGGAAGCACUUUACUGACUGAGCUAUCUCUUAAGCUCUGACUUAUGUUUUUUUUUUUUUUUUUAAGUGUCUGGAUUAAGGCAAGAAGUAAUAGGGAAGAAAACUUGUUCUGUAUAAUAACUUUUUAACAGAGCUGGUACCAUUCAGUCAUGGAAGGUACUACCUUGGGAGUAUACAGAAAAACUGAGCAAAUUAAAAUGACCAGUGACCACUAACAAAAAGCUGUUCCAUGCUAUGUAUCCUAUGGUGGCCUUAUCUAAUGCACCUUUCUGAUUCUAUAAUAGUCUGUGACUUUCAUUGUAUCACAGCUAUUGUCCAGCUAUGUAAAUUAGAUAUCGGUAGUAAGCAGAGUGCUUCUAUUCAUGGAGAUUAUAAGGACUUAGUGUACAGGAGAAGCACGGUUUCUUCUCCCAUCCCCAGAGCUAGUUUUGCAUCAAGUAACCUAUUCAUGCCAGCCUUCCUGCUGUUUGUCUGUGGAUCUGAAUGAGUUUAACCUCUUACUGGUUGCUUCACUAAUAAGCUAAAACAUUAAAAUAUAUUCAUUUUAUAUUUGCAUGAGAGUCACAAUUUUUUCCCUGUUGAAAUCAAUUAUAUCCUUUAAAAUAAUUUGCUGGGACUUAAAAAAAUUUUUUUUUUACUUGUAUGAAUGUUUUUGCCUGCAUUAUGUCUGUAUACCACAUGUGUGUAACCUCUGCAGAGCCCAGAAGAGGGCGUUGCAUCCCCUGGAACUGUGUGUCACCAUGUGGAUGCUGGGAAUUGAACCCAGGUCCUCCAGUCAGUGUUCUUUACUGCAGGGCCGUUUUUUGCAGCCUAAAAUCAAUCGCGUCUUAACUGGAAUCCUUUGUUCUUGCUUCAAAAUGAAUCCAUCCUCCUUCCUCACUUCUGUCCAGAUUUCAGACGUCCACACUUCGAGAGUUUUUCACUGUAACCCCUCUUACUGGAGAGGUUGAAACAGGAGAAUGGCAAGUUCAAAGCUUGCCUGGGCAAUUCAGGGAGAUUCUGUCUGAAAGGAGAAAACCUAAGGGCUGAUGCUAGAGAAUGAGCUCGGUGGCGGAAGGUUUUCCAAGUGUUUGCUGGGCUGGGGUGGGGGUGUUCAAGCCCUAGCUGUAGGGUUACGACCACCAGGGGGCGUGGAAACUUUCGCAGUCCUCGCUGGGCCAGCGUCAGGACAGGAGCCGGAGGUCAGAUAGAGGAUUAGAGUUGAUUACCGCAUAGUUGGCUCUAACAGCUCAAGCCCUGCCUUACUUGACUACCUUUAUGGCAGCGGAGGAAGUCAGUAGGAGCGUGCACAUCGCAGAGGGUAAAGUCCGGUUAUAAUUAGAAAGUAUCUAUGGCCUUUAAGAUUGAACACAAAGUCGAGGAUACUUCUCGAACUUGAGACCAAGUCUUCACUAGCGCCAAUUGUUGACCACUACUCUGGUCGAUACGCCAUUUGUUAUCCCCAAAUCAAAUACGGAGGGGAAGGGAAUAGGGGCACCGUUGAAGAGGAAGGGCAGUGAGAAGAACCACACUUUUCUAAAAAUUCUUCAAAUCCCAGGGCUCUUGACAGCAAGGAGGAGAGAGGUGGGCUUAAGUUUUCCAAAUCAAACAAACGUCUUUAUCCUACAACUCUGCCCGGUAGUUAAAAGUCAGUUGCUUCUUUUCUCGUACAGGCUAAGCAGAAAAUUGCUAAGCAGCCUCUGAUUUAUAUAGCUAUGGAAACGGACUCUCCUAGAUUCCCUCAAGUUAUUCAAAUUGUUAGUAAAAGGUGACUGGACCGCCUACACGACUUCGAGAGGCCCCACAACCACUAGCAUCAUAAUCCCCAAAUUCCUCGCCGCAGCCCGAUCCAGGGCAUCUCAUCUGCAGUUACGCCCUACGGGAACAAGUCUCUGAGCCCGAACCGCACAGAUUUUAUACCCAACAGGUCCCUUCUUUAAGGCGGAAUAUCUCUUGAGCAUCAUCGGAACGUUUUCCCUCAUCAAAGGGAGCAGGAACCAGCUUGUCUUCAACCUGAGGAGUCCGCAGAGGGCCGAACAAUAAGAACAGUGCGGAAAAUACGGAAUCGAAGCCAGACAGACCACCCCCGCCUUUUUUUUUUUUUUUUUUUGUUUCUGCCUUUCGAGGGGCAUGGGAAGGUGUGCCCGGAAUGCUUCCGGCGCUGGAGCGCGCUGGCCCUUUAAGCAGGAGCUCGGGGAGCGGCCCAGGUAUGGGGCGGGCCCAGGGGCGGGCGAGCCCUGAGCCGGCGCGGUCUCGUAGCCGGAUUUGGAGCGCGGCGCCGGCGGGGGCCGGAGGGGGCGGCGCGGCGGACCUCGGUGGCCUCGGACGCUCCUCCUCGAGAGCGGCCGCCGCCCGCCUCCGCCCGCUCUAGCAGCUCUCUCGCCCCGGCCGGCAGCCGCCGCCGCUCCAGGCCGCUCACUUGGGACGCGCUCACCUGAGACAAGGCGCCCGCCGCCCUCACCUGGGCCAGGAUGAAGGACCGGCUGGAGCAGCUGAAGGCCAAGCAGCUGACGCAGGAUGAUGACACGGACGAGGUUGAGAUUGCCAUUGACAACACAGCCUUCAUGGACGAGUUCUUCUCUGAGAUCGAGGAAACACGGCUCAACAUUGACAAGAUCUCGGAGCAUGUAGAGGAAGCUAAGAAACUCUACAGUAUCAUUCUCUCUGCACCGAUCCCAGAGCCAAAAACCAAAGAUGACCUUGAACAGCUCACAACUGAGAUCAAGAAAAGGGCCAACAACGUCCGGAACAAGCUGAAGAGCAUGGAGAAGCACAUUGAGGAAGAUGAGGUUCGGUCAUCUGCAGACCUUCGGAUACGAAAGUCCCAGCACUCCGUCCUCUCCCGGAAGUUUGUGGAGGUGAUGACAAAGUACAAUGAGGCUCAGGUGGACUUCCGUGAACGCAGCAAAGGGCGCAUCCAACGGCAGCUUGAAAUUACUGGCAAGAAGACAACAGAUGAGGAGCUGGAAGAGAUGUUGGAGAGUGGCAACCCAGCCAUCUUCACUUCUGGGAUCAUUGACUCCCAGAUUUCCAAGCAAGCCCUCAGCGAGAUUGAGGGUCGGCACAAGGACAUCGUAAGGCUGGAGAGCAGCAUCAAGGAGCUCCAUGACAUGUUUAUGGACAUCGCCAUGCUGGUGGAAAAUCAGGUAGCUGGCGUAUGGGAAAGCAGGCAUUUCCCUGUGAACCGGAAAUGGCAUUUUGGAGGUCAGGUGGGGCAGGGGAUAGAGCAUUUUCCCCAUGGGGCAACAGAAUUCUAGUGUCUGAGGCAGAGGUGUGCAUUUUUACUUCUUGAGUGCUGGCGCCUUGAGCCACCUCAGUCUUGUUUUCUUGCCUGUACUUUACUUUCACAGUGAUUCUAGUUAGUAGUGAAGUUUCAUGUCAUGACAGAACCUAGUCUGCUCAGCCUUAUCACUGUUUUCUUUCCCUUUUUAAAAUUAAAGACAUGGGCUCUUUGGCUGUGGAAUGUGUAGUUGAGUAUAGGCUGCCUGCUUAGCAUUCAUAAGGCCUUGGGUCCAAGCUAUCUUCUGGCCUAGGUCUGCAUAAACCAAGAAUAGCAGCAUAUACCUAUAAUCACAGCACUUAGAAGAUGGAGGCAGGGGGAUCAGGAGUUUAAGGUUAUCUUCUAAUACAGAACAAAUCUGAAAGGCAGCCUGGGAUUCACUAGACCUACCUUUCCUAAAAAAAUAAAAAGGAGGUCUUAUAGUCAAUGCCUUGACAGUCUUUUGAUAUGAACUAUUUUACUGAAAGCUUUUUCUUUUCCUCUAAUUCACCAUAGAAGUUAAAAGCAAGUUAAUUAAUUUUUCUAGUUUUGCUUUUAUACUUCUCUUUUCCUGAGCAUUUUGGCACCUUUUGUUAAGAAUCAACAGUAGACAUGAUUGAAGAAUUUCUUAUUAAAAGAAUAUUUUAGUGAAAGACUAUAAAAACACUUAUGAUUCUCGACAAUUCAUCCCCAAGCUUGCCUGCUUGGGAGUGGAAUUCGAUAUUGCUUGCAUAUGACAUUCAUUUCUGUCAGAUUGUUGGUCCCCAGUUCUUGGGAUAGAGUUAGGUGUCAUGUAGGGUCAUGGUGCUAAGCAGCUUUCACCAGGAACUUCCAGCUAUUCAGCCAUUGGUACAGAAUUGGAAACUCUUGCUUGGUAGGUAGACCCCAGACCGUAGUUGAAGCCUGAGUACAGGCUAACCAGUUGUUCAUGAGUUCUUUGCCCUUUGGCACUCUUCUUCCUUUUCCCUUUCUGGCCUUUGAGACUCCUUUCUCAAUCCCUCUAUUCCCACUUUUUUUUUUUUCCCACCACACUGCCUUGCUGAGGAUCUGGUUUGAGUCAAGUGAUGGGGGAGAUGUUAGAUAACAUAGAGUUGAAUGUCAUGCACACAGUGGACCAUGUGGAGAAGGCACGGGAUGAAACUAAAAGAGCCAUGAAGUAUCAGGGUCAGGCUCGGAAGAACCAGCUUUCACUCCAGCUUGGCCUGACCACUCUUGUCUCCAGACGGGAACAGAGUUUGAAAGGCCUCCCUGAGAAUGAGGGGGUACCUGUUACUUUAUUUCCUUAUAACCAUCCUUGGACCUGGCUCAGCAAACAAUCUACCCCCAGAAGAAUCUAACCUACCUGAUGCAGUCCUGAGUUCUCAUCAAAACCACCUCCCAUCCUAGCAGCUGAAGUACCCUCUUCUGGACUCUGUGAAGCAACCCUGUGUGUUGGUGUGUAGGUUAUGCUUUGUGCCUUGGACAAUCCCCGUGAGACAAGCCAAGGCACUGUAUUUCUACCUCAUGGAGUAUUCUCCUGGAAUAUACUUUGUAGGGGAAUAACUAACAAAGUAGAGGAAUUCUAAGUUUAGUAGUAAAUGUGGCUUGGAACAGAGUCCCUAGCUGGCAGGAUGCCAAUCCUUAGUUUGUUGUUUGCUGUCCUGAAAACAUGAAAGACUAAUAGAUGCCAUUUUGGUCUUACAAGUUGGCUUAUUUGAAAUUUACCUUUUAAUUAAGCUCUAACUUCAUUGUGGGUCACAUUGGUUUUUCUCUAUAUUCACUCUUGUUUAUUUAGAGAGACCAGGGUGACAGGUCUUCUGAAGCUACCAUUGGCAAAGAGUAAGGUUAUAGAAUUUGCUGGCUAGUCACUGUUAGAUAAUUGCUCUUUGUGAAGACAUUACUUUGAGGCCAACCAGAACCAGGGAUUUAAAACUGGUCCAGGGACAAGGUGCUACAGUCUCAGGCUCUGGAAAUGUCAGUCAUUUGUGUGUUCCAGGUGUACUUUUGUAAUUAUGUAUGUGAGAGAUAUGUACAUAAUUGUCUGCCUCUCAGGAAGUAGGAAAACUAGAAGAUACUAUGACCUCAAAAAAAAAAAAAAAAAAAAAGACAAAGGUAAGCAGCAGCUAAAAUCAGCUAGGGAAUAUAUGCUUACCUCAAGUGAAUCACUGUAGAAAUGUGAUUUUUUCCCCCCUUGCCAUCAAGCUUGUUUUCUGGAUGGCUGCUGAUAUGGGAAUCAAAUGAGACCUUUGGAGUAAGGACUAAAUUGGUUCCCAUCGAAGUUUUCUGCAUAGCAGAUAGUGUGUAAUAUUUACCUCCAUCUGUUGCUUACAAGAGGGUUGUCCAGAGAACCUCUCACACCCGUCUGAUGUUAUUUACACUAUCCAUGUGAUGUUUCUGUCUGGCGGAAGAAUUGGGAGGCUCUAGAGCAGUUCUUCCUGCUUUCUUUUGUCUCCUGUAAUUCUUAUCAUGGAGGCAAUAGCCUGGAAAUCGUUAGUGAUAAGCCUCAGACCUUUGGUGGUCCCUGCCAGUAUCCCGGAUUUUGGGUAUAUAACCCCCCAAUUUAAUGUUUCUAUGGGAUAGAUGAGUAGUAAUCUAGUCUAGGCACUGCCUAUGAGCUUUCUUUGUAAAGGUACCUCCUCAGUCACCCAGCAUUCAAGAUGGAGCCUCAGGGAUGCCUUCCUCCCUUUGGCUGUGAUGUCUGGCAGGACUGACUCCGGCUAGGAGGGGAAACAACCCUUAGUGCAGGCCUUUUCUCUCCUCCUUCAGGCCAGCUGAAAGUUUGAAAUGCCACAUAUGAAGGGCUUUUGUUGUUUGUAAUUUUUUAAAUGUAAACUUGAUUAUUUUAUUGCUAAUUUAAAAAUAAAUGACUUUAUACUGAUUGUAAAACAGCUCUGGGGCCAUCUCUCUGCAAUGUUUUGGUGAUUUGGCGCCACCAUGUGGUAACUUUUGGUGCCGCAGAAGCUCUAGAAAUAUCUGUUAGAAUGCUAUUCAGAAGGCAGAGAGGACACUCACAUCAUGGUCUGAUUCUAAGUGUCUAACCUGGAAACAUUCUCUACACAAGCCAGAUCCAUCCGUUUUCCUUCUGCAUUCCCUGUCCCUUCUGUCCCUCCACGUCUGGCCCCAUCUGUCUCCUUUUUGUCAAAGUGUGUAUCUGCACAGUGAUGUCGAUUCUCAUGUAUUUCUCUCUCCUUGUGAUGAGCAGAAGAAGAUCAUGAUCAUGAUCUGCUGUAUUAUCCUUGCCAUCAUCUUGGCUUCUACCAUUGGGGGCAUAUUUGCCUGAAAAAGAUGGGAUCUCAACGGGCAUCUGCAAUCUUCCACCUCUGUGGUGCCAUCAUGUCUCCCCUCAGUCUUCCUCAGCUAUGUCUCUUUUCACUAGGAAACUCACAACACAGGGCACCAAUCAACUGUUUAUUAAAUGAACAAAUUAAUGAAAAUGUAGAAUUGAAAGAGAUAGGGAUGAAGGAACAGGGAGCACGGCAAUAUACAGUUGGUUUAGAUGGCCCUUAAAGGUCUGGCCUGCAUGGUAGAGAGACAUAACGAACGGGUCCCUGUUUAGAGCACAACACACACACAGCCUGAAGGCCAGGAUGGUGGUGAAGAGGCAGGCAUUACAACAUGCCCAACUCAACAGGGUCAUACUGAACUCAGUGAGGCUGUCUCUCAGAUCAUGGUACUCCCUACUUUUACUCUAAUGGCUCUUCUAGGUCGCAUUCUUAACCAACCACAUGUCUGCUUCCUCUUUCAGGGUCCAAGAAUAGUUUUUAAUUCAUAGAUUGUUUAAGGAUAGGCACUAUGCCUAUCUCGAAUACUACCAUGUCCCUUCUCUUAGCACACAGUGCCUGCCACUUUCAGAUGUCUGCUUACUUAUAGUCAAGCUUUGAUUUCAUUCAUGGAUGAGUCUUUGAGCUUGGCUUUUAACUCUUUAAGGUACCAUUGGGAACAUGAUUUUUUAUUAAUCAGAGGCACAUAGAAAAAUAUGGCAACACCCCUAUUACCAUACCAUACCUGUCACAGUGUUCUGUUUUGAGGGAUGGUGCUUAUGUAGAAGCUGGCUUUGUAUUGAUGGUAUAAAUUUCUAUUAGUACUCUCAUUUGUCAGAGAUGAUAGUUGGUCUCAGGAUGGAGGUUCAUUCAAUAAAUUCAUUCCUCCAACAAAAGAAAGAAGUUUAUACUAUGACCCAGCUCCCAAACAAGCACACCAUGUUAUCUGGAACAAUGGAAGGAAGCCAAGGGGAUAAAGUGGGACGAGGCUGCUGCUUCAGCCUCACCAUGUCUGUGGUAGAAUAGGCUGCAGGUCAGUGAAAUGUGCAAGAAACUGGUCCAAACACAUUUCUAACUCAAGUGUCACUGUGUUCCACUUUAAAAAUAAUUUACUUUGAGACUAUUACAUUUUACAUUCAUUAAAAAUAAAUGAAAAUCUGCGUCUAACUUUUGAAAGUAAGUGUUAACUUACUUGAAUGCUGGUUCCCCCAGAAAAACUGAUUACUCUUGUUACGGACAAAUGAAGCUGGCACCAUGAAGUUUUGGAUCACAUGGGACCCUCAAUUAUCCAGCAGUGUGUGUGUGCUCUACAUACACUAGCUCCUAAAGGGACAGAGAGCCAAGAUGCCCCUCCUUAGCUAGCUUCAGAUCUAGGAAGGGUUUCAACUUUUGUUAAAGUUCUUUUGCUAAAUUCCUUGUCAUAUUCCAUGUUUUCCCUUCUGAGACUGACAGAAGAUGGGCAGCUGGGCAUUAAUAAAUAUCUGUUGAACCCACUA
This is an RNA transcript of Mus musculus (house mouse), 8371 nucleotides long. It is a transcript of the gene named syntaxin 3, with no coding region annotated. Lineage: Eukaryota; Metazoa; Chordata; Mammalia; Rodentia; Muridae. The transcript is spliced from 11 exons. The record is from RefSeq and is marked validated.